UAACAGGACCACAUUUGAAUCUUCGAUGUU
This 30-nucleotide non-coding RNA is filed under the name Rattus norvegicus (Norway rat). The record is from RNAcentral. Lineage: Eukaryota; Metazoa; Chordata; Mammalia; Rodentia; Muridae.